This 4501-nucleotide long non-coding RNA is filed under the name Nicotiana tabacum (common tobacco). RNAcentral describes it as "long non-coding RNA (NTAB_LNC017024)". The record is from RNAcentral. Lineage: Eukaryota; Viridiplantae; Streptophyta; Magnoliopsida; Solanales; Solanaceae.
AAAAAAGUCCUGAGGAUGAAACCCACGACUCAUCAUCUUCCAAACGUGGGGUUCAACAACAAUUCUAAACUAACUCAAACAUGACGCACGAUUUAUGCGGUUUCAUAUGUUAAAUUCCUUUUUCAAUCCCUAUUUUCUCCGCUCAGUACUACAACAAUAUUGCAAAUAUGGCUACAAUCAGACAAAUUUCAAGCAUCAAUGCAAUUCAAUCUAACUUGGAGUCGUUCGAAUGUGAAAAAUCCAGAUCGUUUCAAGCGUGAAAUACAAUAUUCCAUAGAGUUAGAUUUUACCCAAUGCAUAGGUAACAUAUUCUACUUUCACAUAGUUUUUAUGUUAAUCCUUUCUCUGCUGCUCUGCUUUAAUGGAUAACUUCUCCAAUAUACUCAAAUACAUAAAAUUGUACUAAUGAAACGAUUAUGUGUAGUCCUCUUCUAUGCUGCUUUGAUGGAUAAAUUUUCACAAUCUUCAAAUAUAUAAAAUUGUAUUAAUAAAACGAUUAUGUGUGCUACCAAUAUUUCUCUUUCUGUUUAUGAAAGUUUAAUUCAUAGUUGUGUACCAAUUUGUAUGUAUAUGGAAUUUAGCAUUAAUAUGAUACAUCCUAAUAAUGAAUCUGCCUUUCUAAGGAGUAUGUAUUAGAAUGAAGAAAACAAUACAGAAAGAUCAAUAUUUUUUUCUAGUAUUGCUGAAAUACUUUCUAAGACUGAUAUGAAAUUUGGUACGUUCCCCAUAGACUCAAGGGUCUACGAAAUUGCUCCAACCAUUCAAAUUUUACAUAAACGAUAUGUAUAGUACAUGUAUUUAACUUUUUAUUUCUGAAAAUUAAAUUCACAAUUGUGCAUUAAUUCCUAUGUAAAUAUUAAUCUACAUUCAUAUUUAAAAAAUUGAUUCUUAAAUUAAUACUUAGUUGACUCUUUCAGUUAAUUUUUUUUAUGCAACGUGUUAGUUAUUUGAACUAAUCAAAUGUUGAAUGAAUGUGUGGGUGAAGCUAAGAUUUAUACGAUAUACUUCGAUAGUUUUAAACUUAGAGUUGGGAGAUGCUUUUUAAGUAGUUGCGUGUGAUUAAUAAGGUUUUGUGAAGUACAGUUGCACUGUAGAAGAACUGAUAUUGUCUGCUCCUAGAAUGCGAAAUCAAAUUCUAUUCCUCCCAUGUUAGUUCUGCUUGCUAUUUUCUGACAAUAAUCAUCAGAGGAACUGUCCAUGAAACUUCAGAAAGUUAAUGCAUAUUGUGUUCAAAAGCUACAUAAGUGUUGUAGUUGUUAAGAAGCAAAUUUAUAGGAGGAGUUUUUGGUGUUAACAGAGGAGUUUUUAGUGCUUUGUGAACUGAUUUUAUGGAGUUUUCAGAUGAUCAUUUACAUGGCUAAUCUGGGGUCGUUCUUGUGGUGGUUUGAUGGAGUUUAAGGGACAUUUUAAUGGAGGUUUAGGGGUGAUUCAUGGCUGGUUUGUCGCAGCAGUUAUUAUGGCUAUAGAGGUGAUUUUUAUAGGGUUUAGGUGACUUUUUUGGACUAUUUUUUGGAGCUUUUUGCUGCGUUUUUGUUCGGGUUUUCAUGGUUGAUUUGGCAGCAGCUAUGAUGAUUGACUUUUUUCAGUAAACAGGUUCAACUAACUUUAACAUAUGAAUUAAGAAAGACGAAUACUUCUUAGAACAUCUCUUAUCUCAGACAUAGCUUAUGUUAUGCACAUUGGACUUACUACAAAGAGUAAUAAUAGCAUGAGAGUUCCAUAAAACUAAUUUAGGUGUGUGUGCAUGCCUAUAAGUGUAACAAGUUUUAGUUGCAAAUUCUCUAACAUUUCAGUUGUUAAAGAGCAAAAAAGAUUCAGAUUACUUUUCUAGCCAAUGUAACAUACCUAAAUCAUGUUAAGCCCAUACUAGAGACCACCUUUGAGAUAACCAAAGCAGAUAAUAGAACGAAAAAGAGAAAAAAAAACUUACUCACACUCGAUGUUUACACCAAAUUAUAUUAGUUUAUCAAAGAUGGAUUGAUGUCAGAAUACAUAUUACUCCUUAACUAUGGUUAGUGAUAGAUGCAUAUAUUAGCGAUAAUUAUUUACGUGGAAUGUGUCUGAAUAUGUAAUUGGUGAAAUUUCCUAUCCAAAUACUCUGUUGUUAGAGAAAAUUUUAGUUUGGAUGACUCUUCCUCCUAAUUGCAAGUAUUAUGUGCAGCUAUUGUUGGGCUAUUUGCUAACUGAGAACGUGCUAUAUCCAACGGAAUUGGCUAAAAAGAGGUCUUAAUACAAACAUUUUAAAGAGGAGUUUUUGAUGAAUCCUGUAAGUAUUUAUUCCUAAUGCAGUGAUUAUUGGCCAAGUUCAUGCAGUCAAACUUAUUAGUAUUACUGUUACUGAUAUCUAAAUUGUUGGUGCUCCUGCUCAUUGGUAAUUGAAGAAAUACUUUGCUAAUUUGGUGUGGCAAGACUCAUGAGGCAUAUGGAGACGAAGCUUGUAGAUAUGAAAUACAUUGAGAACUGGCAUAACAUUUGCAUUAUUACAAUCUUUUAUCGUCAGAUUAAUGAAUUUAUUUUAAAAUAUAUUUUUUAUUUAAUUUAAGUUUCUUAUGCUCAUUAUCUAAUUAUUAUGUUGUAUAUGUAAUAUUCUAUAAAUUUGAGAUGUCACCUUUUGUUUUAGAUUAGUGAGAAUGUAGCAAGGGAGAUCAUUAAUCAUAAAUCACUUCGACAAUCAAACAUAGUUCACUUCAACGAGGCAAUUUUGUGAGGGUAUACAUUGUUUAUUUUUAUGGUCCUUGUGUAUUUAUGUUGGUAUAUUUUAACAAUGGCAAUAAAAAGCUAAGGAAUUACUACCCUAACUAAUGUUCAUUUUCUUUGUGAAAUACAAGUGAUAUUAACACUCACUUAUCUUGCUAUUGUUAUGGAAUAUGCAGAUGGGGGGAAACUGUUUGUGCGCAUCGGCUAUGCAGAAAGGUUCAAUGAGAAUUAGGUAUAUUUAAAUAUCCUUAUUUUGUUAGUAGUCAAUUUUCACAUCGAAUACCACUAUGAACGAUAAUGAAAUGGUAAUGGAGACUCUUUGUCACAAUUCUAUUAUUUUAAAAGGCCAACUUUCCGUGUUUUUAAAAGCAUUGGUUCCACAUAUGCAAUGCUUCUCUCAUUUUGGUUUUUGAUUGUUGUCACUUCAGACUAGAACCUUCUUCCAGCAUUUUAUUUUAGGAGUCCACUACUAUCACAAUAUGGUGAGAAACUUACAAGAUUCUACAAAAAAAAAUUGUGAAUGUAUGAUAUUUUUUUAGAUAUAUCUUAGAGAUGGACUAAUCUUUAUAAAUUUUAUCCCAAAUACCAUCUUUUUAAUUUAAGGGAUCUUAUUUUUCUUCAAACUUCAAGUGCAUGGGCAACAAAGAUUUGAAAUUGGACGAUACACUUUUCGAUGGAAGUACAGCUCCACACCUGAAGAUAUGUUAUUUUGGAAAAUCAAAGGUUGAUGAUGUUAUGCUUAUUUGUAUAGACUUUUAGUUGUUUCUAUUUUGUGGCUGUAAACUAUGAAUAAGAAGAAAAAAAAAAUUAACCUCAAAUAUUAUUGCUUUUUUUCGAACUUUCCACCUUACGUAACACUGAAAAGUCCCUCUCACCAAAGUGACAUAACAACUUCACAGAUUACAUUCUUAUACCUCACUAAUCUACUAGAAAUUGGUUUGCAACACAAUCUAAGAAUAUUUUUCUUUAACAUAUAUUUGUAUUUAUUGAUUUUGCAGCUUCAUUAGAGAAGUUUAGUCCAAAAAUUCAGUUCCUCGUUCAGAAAAAAUAUCAGCCAAGUCGGAUUUCGUGCAAAAGCUAAUGCGUGAUCCUAGGCUUUGUAAAGAAAAAGUGGUUGCUUCUCAACAUUCAAGCUAUUCAUACUUAAAGUUAAAUUAAUGAAAUGCUAAUACAUAAUAUUAUAUAUUUUACAUCUUAAGAUAUCAUGAUUGAAUUAUGCAUGAGAAUAAAUAUAAUCAAGAUAGUCGACUACAAGAGUUUAAUAAUACAGUGAUAACUUGUAUUUUUUUGAUUGAAAUGUUUUGAACUUUAUGAUAAUUACAUUGUAACAAGGAAUUAGUACGUAAUUCUAGCCUGACUUACUGGUAAUAAUUCCUCAGUUACAUAAGUAAUUACAUCUUCUUAUUACACCUUUCCCUUCUUUGCCUAAGAAUAAGUUUUUUACUAAUCGUUAUUAUUAGGAACCUAAAAGCUAUUUGUUAUCAUUUCAGUGGGCUUUUGUUUGAUCAUGCGAGGUGGCACUUUUAUGUUAUGCUGGUUGGGGCAUAUCUUUUAGAAUACCCGGAGGAUCCAAAAAACUUUAGAAAAACUAUUCAAAUGAGUUUUUUUUUAUACAUUCAUAAAUCCAAAUGACUUUACAGGUAUUUAGACGUCUUAGUUUGAUUUUGAUGUUUCUCUUUCCAGCGAAUAAUGGUGGUACAGUUAUUUUGGGUUAAGCAUAUGCUUCACGUUUGUGCCAUUGACAUCUCUUUAUAAAACUUGUGCUAUUAUGGUCUAUAAAAUGCUGAUUGUAAAUGCAAGUUUA